CAAAGCGCUUCUCUUUAGAGAGU
Molecule: microRNA, 23 nt
Filed under: Macaca mulatta (Rhesus monkey)
Lineage: Eukaryota; Metazoa; Chordata; Mammalia; Primates; Cercopithecidae
Description: mml-miR-518c-3p
Gene: mml-miR-518c-3p
Source: miRBase by way of RNAcentral